Molecule: ribosomal RNA, 497 nt
Filed under: uncultured bacterium
Lineage: Bacteria
Description: partial 16S ribosomal RNA
Rfam family: Bacterial small subunit ribosomal RNA
Source: RNAcentral
GAUGAACGCUGGCGGCGUGCCUAAUACAUGCAAGUCGAGCGAACGGACGAGAAGCUUGCUUCUCUGAUGUUAGCGGCGGACGGGUGAGUAACACGUGGAUAACCUACCUAUAAGACUGGGAUAACUUCGGGAAACCGGAGCUAAUACCGGAUAAUAUUUUGAACCGCAUGGUUCAAAAGUGAAAAACGGUCUUGCUGUCACUUAUAGAUGGAUCCGCGCUGCAUUAGCUAGUUGGUAAGGUAGCGGCUUACCAAGGCAACGAUGCAUAGCCGACCUGAGAGGGUGAUCGGCCACACUGGAACUGAGACACGGUCCAGACUCCUACGGGAGGCAGCAGUAGGGAAUCUUCCGCAAUGGGCGAAAGCCUGACGGAGCAACGCCGCGUGAGUGAUGAAGGUCUUCGGAUCGUAAAACUCUGUUAUUAGGGAAGAACAUAUGUGUAAGUAACUGUGCACAUCUUGACGGUAACUAAUCAGAAAGCCACGGCUAACUACGUG